ACGACGCUGGCGGCGUGGAUUAGGCAUGCAAGUCGAACGGUAUCAUCCUUUCGGGGAUGAGAGAGUGGCGAACGGGUGAGUAACACGUAGGUGAUCUACCCUCAAGACGGGGACAACCCAGGGAAACUUGGGCUAAUACCGGAUGUGAGCUAUCGCGAGAUAGUUUGAAAGGUGGCUUCGGCUGCCGCUUGAGGAUGAGCCUGCGUCCUAUUAGCUAGUUGGUGAGGUAACGGCUCACCGAGGCGAUGAUAGGUAGGCGGCCUUAACGGGUGGUCGCCCACACUGGGAUUGAGAUACGGCCCAGACUCCUACGGGAGGCAGCAGUCGAGAAUAGUCUACAAUGGUCGAAAGACUGAUAGUGCGACGCCGCGUGAACGAAGAAGCCCUUCGGGGUGUAAAGUUCUUUUAUAUGUGAGCAGUGACAUCUAUAUUAAUAGUAUGGGUGUAGAGAUAUUAGCAUAUGAAUAAGCAACGGCUAACUCCGUG
This 486-nucleotide ribosomal RNA is filed under the name uncultured bacterium. RNAcentral describes it as "bacterial SSU rRNA". It matches the Rfam family "Bacterial small subunit ribosomal RNA", at positions 33 to 507 of the family's 1533-position model. The record is from RNAcentral.